GAUGAAGAACGCAGCGAAAUGCGAUAAGUAACGUGAAUUGCAGAAUUCAGUGAAUCAUCGAAUCUUUGAACGCACAUUGCGCCCGCUAGUAUUCUGGCGGGCAUGCCUGUUCGAGCGUCAUUUCAACCAUCAAGCCCCAGGCUUGCGUUGGGGGCCUGCGGCUGCCGCAGCCCCUGAAAAGCAGUGGCGGGCUCGCUGUCAUUCCGAGCGUAGUAGUUACAUCUCGCUCCGGGCGUGGCGGUGGGCACCUGCCGUGAAACACUCUUUCUAAGGUUGACCUCGGAUCAGGUAGGAAUACCCGCUGAACUUAAGCAUAUCAAUAAGCGGAGGA
This 331-nucleotide unclassified non-coding RNA is filed under the name soil metagenome. RNAcentral's name for it is "partial contains 5.8S ribosomal RNA, internal transcribed spacer 2, and large subunit ribosomal RNA". The stretch from base 1 to 120 matches the Rfam family "5.8S ribosomal RNA", at positions 35 to 154 of the family's 154-position model. The record is from RNAcentral.